Non-coding RNA from Acanthosepion pharaonis, 113 nucleotides. Lineage: Eukaryota; Metazoa; Mollusca; Cephalopoda; Sepiida; Sepiidae. The record is from the annotation of a GenBank genome assembly.
UACAGCCACAUCACGUUGAAAACAGCGAUUCUCGUACGAUCAACGAAGUUAAGCAACAUCGGGCCUGGUCAGUACAAAGAUGGGUGACCGCAUGGAAAUAUCAGGUGCUGUAA